Molecule: long non-coding RNA, 588 nt
Organism: Oncorhynchus tshawytscha (Chinook salmon)
Lineage: Eukaryota; Metazoa; Chordata; Actinopteri; Salmoniformes; Salmonidae
Source: Ensembl
GUUACAUUAUUAUACAGGCAAAAGUGGCGUCAUGUUAUGGAGUGGGGUAGCCUUAAGAAAAAGUACACGAAACCGGAGGAAUAGGAGCUAACAUCCAGAUUAGAGGGUUCAUACAGUGUAUUGCUGAGCCGAAGUAGCGGAGCUCCAGUGGCGCAAUCGGUUAGCGCGCGGUACUUAUAUGACAGUACAUUGUAGAGCUAUGCCGAGGUUGUGAGUUCGAGCCUCACCUGGAGCAGUGUUUUUACUAAGAGAGAGCGAUAGAGCUCACACCCCGGGCAGGUUGGUGAUGAAGAGCCUGUCAGAGCGCCAAGGGGAAGUGAUGUCAUGGCGCUCUAGGCAGAAGAACAGCAGACUGGAGUUUCUCCACGUUCUUGCUGAAUUUGCUUGGUUCUCUGGUUAGAAGUUCUCAGGUGUGUGCUGCUGUUGGAGAUUCAAACUCAGCCCACGUAUGUUAGUCUUUAGUAUAAGACUGUGAAGUUUAUGGGUUGUUUGUCUCACUAACAACUUGGUCAAAUGUAAAAACCUAAUUACACUGUAUAUGUGUUCCUAAAUACAAUAAACAUGAUAUGUUUCAAGCCUCAAAACUCA